UGCCGCGUGAGUGAAGAAGGCCUUCGGGUUGUAAAGCUCUUUUGUCAGGGAAGAAACGGGUGAGGUUAAUACCUUUGCCUAAUGACGGUACCUGAACAAUAAGCACCGGCUAACUACGUGCCAUCAGCCGCGGUAAUACUUAGGGUGCAAGCGUUAAUCGGAAUUACUGGGCGUAAAGCGUGCGCAGGCGGUUAUACCAGACAGAUGUGAAAUCCCCGGGCUCAACCUGGGAAUUGCAUUUGUGACUGUAUGGCUUGAGUGUGUCAAAGGGGGGUAGAAUUCCACGUGUAGCAAUGAAAUGCGUAAAUGUGUGGAGGAAUACCGAUGGCGAAGGCAGCCCCCUGGGAUAACACUGACGCUCAUGCUCGAAAGCGUGGGGAGCAAACAGGAUUAGAUACCCUGGUAGUCCACGCCCUAAACGAUGUCUACUAGUUGUCGGGUCUUAAUUGACUUGGUAACGCAGCUGACGCGUGAAGUAGACCGCCUGGGGAGUACGGUCGCAAGAUUAAAACUCAAAGGAAUUGACGGGGACCCGCACAAGCGGUGGAUGAUGUGGAUUAAUUCCAUGCAACGCGAAAAACCUUACCUACCCUUGACAUGUACGGAAUCCUGAAGAGAUUU
Molecule: ribosomal RNA, 621 nt
Filed under: Herbaspirillum sp. So3Pw_2793
Lineage: Bacteria; Pseudomonadati; Pseudomonadota; Betaproteobacteria; Burkholderiales; Oxalobacteraceae
Description: bacterial SSU rRNA
Rfam family: Bacterial small subunit ribosomal RNA
Source: RNAcentral